RNAcentral lists this ribosomal RNA (428 nucleotides) under Staphylococcus pseudintermedius. RNAcentral's name for it is "bacterial SSU rRNA". It matches the Rfam family "Bacterial small subunit ribosomal RNA", at positions 377 to 797 of the family's 1533-position model. The record is from RNAcentral. Lineage: Bacteria; Bacillati; Bacillota; Bacilli; Caryophanales; Staphylococcaceae.
CGAAGCCUGACGGAGCAACGCCGCGUGAGUGAUGAAGGUCUUCGGAUCGUAAAGCUCUGUUGUUAGGGAAGAACAAAUGUGUAAGUAACUGUGCACAUCUUGACGGUACCUAACCAGAAAGCCACGGCUAACUACGUGCCAGCAGCCGCGGUAAUACGUAGGUGGCAAGCGUUAUCCGGAAUUAUUGGGCGUAAAGCGCGCGUAGGCGGUUUUUUAAGUCUGAUGUGAAAGCCCACGGCUCAACCGUGGAGGGUCAUUGGAAACUGGAAAACUUGAGUGCAGAAGAGGAAAGUGGAAUUCCAUGUGUAGCGGUGAAAUGCGCAGAGAUAUGGAGGAACACCAGUGGCGAAGGCGGCUUUCUGGUCUGCAACUGACGCUGAUGUGCGAAAGCGUGGGGAUCAAACAGGAUUAGAUACCCUGGUAGUCCA